RNAcentral lists this ribosomal RNA (565 nucleotides) under Kurtzmaniella natalensis. RNAcentral's name for it is "eukaryotic LSU rRNA". It matches the Rfam family "Eukaryotic large subunit ribosomal RNA", at positions 62 to 648 of the family's 3401-position model. Lineage: Eukaryota; Fungi; Ascomycota; Pichiomycetes; Serinales; Debaryomycetaceae. The record is from RNAcentral.
AAACCAACAGGGAUUGCCUUAGUAACGGCGAGUGAAGCGGCAAAAGCUCAAAUUUGAAAUCUGGCACUUUCAGUGUCCGAGUUGUAAUUUGAAGAAGGUAACUCUGGAGUUGGCCCUUGUCUAUGUUCCUUGGAACAGGACGUCACAGAGGGUGAGAAUCCCGUGCGAUGGGGUGUCCAAUCUAUGUAGAGUGCUUUCGAAGAGUCGAGUUGUUUGGGAAUGCAGCUCUAAGUGGGUGGUAAAUUCCAUCUAAAGCUAAAUAUUGGCGAGAGACCGAUAGCGAACAAGUACAGUGAUGGAAAGAUGAAAAGAACUUUGAAAAGAGAGUGAAAAAGUACGUGAAAUUGUUGAAAGGGAAGGGCUUGAGAUCAGACUCGGUAUUUUGCGAUCCUAUCCUUCGUGGAGAGGUUUCACUUGCAGCUUACCGGGCCAGCAUCGGUUUGGAUGGUAGGAUAAUGACAUUGGAAUGUGGCUUUUCGGAGUGUUAUAGCCUUUGUUGAUACUGCCUAUCUAGACCGAGGACUGCGUCUUUGACUAGGAUGCUGGCAUAAUGAUCUUAAGCCGC